This 494-nucleotide ribosomal RNA is filed under the name uncultured bacterium. RNAcentral describes it as "partial 16S ribosomal RNA". It matches the Rfam family "Bacterial small subunit ribosomal RNA", at positions 28 to 507 of the family's 1533-position model. The record is from RNAcentral.
GACGAACGCUGGCGGCGUGCUUAACACAUGCAAGUCGAACGGAAAGGCCUGCUUUCCCUUGUGGAUUGCGGGUGCUCGAGUGGCGAACGGGUGAGUAACACGUGAGCGAUCUGCCCCCAACUUGGGUAUAAGCCUGGGAAACUGGGUCUAAUUCCCGAUAGGACUGCAGGGUGGUGCCUGUGGUGGAAAACGAUUUUCUAGUGGUUGGGGAUGAGCUCGCGGCCUAUCAGCUUGUUGGUGGGGUAAUGGCCUACCAAGGCGGCGACGGGUAGCCGGCCUGAGAGGGUGGACGGCCACAUUGGGACUGAGAUACGGCCCAGACUCCUACGGGAGGCAGCAGUGGGGAAUAUUGCACAAUGGGCGGAAGCCUGAUGCAGCGACGCCGCGUGGGGGAUGACGGCCUUCGGGUUGUAAACUCCUUUCGACCGCGAGGAAGCCACCUGGUUGGAAGGGUGGUGACGGUAGUGGUAGAAGAAGCACCGGCUAACUACGUG